Non-coding RNA from Cinara cedri, 384 nucleotides. The record is from the annotation of a GenBank genome assembly. NCBI's taxonomy places the organism in Eukaryota, Metazoa, Arthropoda, Insecta, Hemiptera, Aphididae.
CAUCUAUAUAAUCAUGUCCACGGUUUAAACCAGAAACUUAUUAAAACCACACAAAAUAACAUAACUACAUGGUUAUCAAUAACAUUUUCAUAUGAGGUUAAUUGUUAAAUCUUUAGUAACUUAAAAAAAAAAGAAGUUUUAACUAACAUAAUUGUAUUUAAAUAGUUUAAUAUAAUACGAUCAUUUGAAUAUUCGUAUUUACACGUGCGAGAAUGAUUUUAUCUCUCAUCUCACAACCGCUAUAACGAUGGCAGAUAAAAGAAACCUCUAUUAUAUAUAAUUUGAAAAGUGAACUUUUGUGGAGUUAGUGCAGUUUAAUAAUUUUAAAUUAGGAAGUCUCUGUUCUAUAGUAGUAACGAGCAUUAAAUCACGUUACCGUUAAUU